This is a non-coding RNA of Nicotiana tabacum (common tobacco), 1455 nucleotides long. NCBI's taxonomy places the organism in Eukaryota, Viridiplantae, Streptophyta, Magnoliopsida, Solanales, Solanaceae. The record is from RefSeq and is a predicted model, not a curated record.
GGAAUGACUUCUAAUCAAGUGUUCCCACGUUCACAAGACUCACAACCAACUCUUCGCUUUCCUUUGCCAUCUUUCCUCUACUACGGCACCCACCCCUCUCCCUUAUGCUUUCUUUUGCUUGAAUUAUCAAAAUCUCAUUAUUACUUCCUUUUUUCUUGGAUUAUCAAAAUCGCAUUUCUUUCUCUUCCUCGUCGCUAGGCCAAAAGGAAUUUUUGCUGUAUUGGUCUAUUUUGAGAAGUAGUUGAUUGUAGUAUGACUGAAUAUCGAAACUCGAGAGGAAGCUCGAGUUCGACGGCGUCUAGUUUGAAUAGCAGUUCACAAGGUACGGAGGAUGAUCAUGCCAUUGCAAAAAUAUUGGCUGAAGAAGAAGAACAAAAUGCUUUGAGGUAUGGGGGAAAGCUUGGCAAGCGACUCUCUCAUUUGGACUCAAUCCCGCAUACUCCGCGGGUUAUUGGGCAGAUACCUGAUCCUAAUCAUGCAACACUUGACCAUGAGAGGCUCUCUGGCAGGUUGGCAGCAAAUGGGCUUGCUGAAUUUCAAAUUCAAGGAGAUGGAAAUUGCCAGUUUCGAGCCCUUGCAGAUCAGUUGUAUCAUAAUCCAGAGUAUCAUAAGCAUGUGAGAAAGGAGGUUGUCAAACAGCUAAAGCAUUUCAGAAAGUUAUAUGAAAGUUAUGUUCCCAUGAAAUACAAAAGCUACCGGAAGAAGAUGAAGAGGUUGGGGGAAUGGGGAGAUCAUAUCACUCUCCAAGCAGCUGCAGAUAGAGUAAUAUGGAGUAAAAAUAUGUUUGGUCACUUCUUUUCGCGAAAAUGGCUACAUUGAGAUCCUUCCUAAGGACAUACAGCCCUCUAGAGAAUUGUGGCUGAGUUUCUGGAGUGAAGUGCAUUACAAUUCUCUAUACGUGAUUGGAGAGGUGCCUGCUAGAGUGCGCAGAAAGAAGCAUUGGCUUUUCUGAGGCUUUCAUAAGCAAAAGUAUUCGUAGCUGCAAUUUAGUAUACUGCCUCGAAGAAACGCAUUUUGCAUAGAGAAGAUCCAAGAUUUCAAGUCAACGUGUGUGGAGUACUACUGCAGUCACUACUCGUGUGACACUGAGUGAGAACUUAAUAUGAGUAUAUUUUCUACAAUCUUUUCACUGCCUAUGUGAAAGUGUAACUGGUCCAUGCCUGGAUAUAUGAAAAGGGUUACAAACCAGCAUAAAGAAUAGUCAAUUAUAGGGAAACCUCGUUACAUUGGAUGAGUCUAUUGGAAACAACCUCUCUAUCUUCACUAGGUAGAGGUAAGAUCUGCGUACACACUACCCUCCCCUAGGAAUAUACUGGGUUUGUUGUUGUUGUCGUUACAUUGGAUGAGCAAAAUAGUUACUGAUAAUUCAUAUGGUCGACCUUAUCUACCUUGAGAUUGAGGUGUAAUGACAUACAUAUAUAGCUUGACUGAAAAGUAGAAGGUACAUUCCUACCA